This 422-nucleotide ribosomal RNA is filed under the name Rhinella castaneotica group sp. ABGD cluster 16. RNAcentral describes it as "partial large subunit ribosomal RNA". It matches the Rfam family "Bacterial large subunit ribosomal RNA", at positions 1835 to 2457 of the family's 2925-position model. The record is from RNAcentral. Lineage: Eukaryota; Metazoa; Chordata; Amphibia; Anura; Bufonidae.
CUUGAACUUUAUAAGAGGUCCAGCCUGCCCAGUGACUCUGUUCAACGGCCGCGGUAUCCUAACCGUGCGAAGGUAGCGUAAUCACUUGUUCUUUAAAUGUGGACUAGUAUGAAUGGCACUACGAAGGUUAUACUGUCUCCUUUUUCUAAUCAGUGAAACUAAUUUUCCCGUGAAGAAGCGGGAAUACAACUAUAAGACGAGAAGACCCUAUGGAGCUUUAAACAACCUAGCAAUUACUUCUAAAAUUAUAAAUUUCAGAAUACUCAUUUUUUUAAGCAAUAUGUCUGCAAGUUUUUGGUUGGGGUGACCAUGGAGAAUAACACAACCUCCAUAUUGAAUGAAUUUUUAUUCUAAGCUAAGAAUUACUAAUUAAAGCAUCAACACACUGACAUUUAUUGACCCAAUAUAUUUGAUCAACGAAC